Molecule: ribosomal RNA, 254 nt
Filed under: uncultured bacterium
Lineage: Bacteria
Description: partial 16S ribosomal RNA
Rfam family: Bacterial small subunit ribosomal RNA
Source: RNAcentral
UACGUAGGGGGCGAGCGUUGUCCGGAUUUAUUGGGCGUAAAGAGCUCGUAGGUGGUUUGGUAAGUCGGAUGUGAAAUCUCCAGGCUCAACCUGGAGGGGUCAUUCGAUACUGCCAUGACUAGAGUUCGGUAGGGGAGUGUGGAAUUCCUGGUGGAGCGGUGAAAUGCGCAGAUAUCAGGAGGAACACCGGUGGCGAAGGCGGAUCUCUGGGCCUUACCUGACGCUGAGGCGCGAAAGCUAGGGGAGCAAACAGG